Molecule: ribosomal RNA, 732 nt
Filed under: Alteromonadales bacterium HOT1B3
Lineage: Bacteria; Pseudomonadati; Pseudomonadota; Gammaproteobacteria; Alteromonadales
Description: bacterial SSU rRNA
Rfam family: Bacterial small subunit ribosomal RNA
Source: RNAcentral
AGUGGCGGACGGGUGAGUAAUGCUUGGGAACUUGCCUUUGCGAGGGGGAUAACAGUUGGAAACGACUGCUAAUACCGCAUAAUGUCUUCGGACCAAACGGGGCUUCGGCUCCGGCGCAAAGAGAGGCCCAAGUGAGAUUAGCUAGUUGGUAAGGUAACGGCUUACCAAGGCGACGAUCUCUAGCUGUUCUGAGAGGAAGAUCAGCCACACUGGGACUGAGACACGGCCCAGACUCCUACGGGAGGCAGCAGUGGGGAAUAUUGCACAAUGGGGGAAACCCUGAUGCAGCCAUGCCGCGUGUGUGAAGAAGGCCUUCGGGUUGUAAAGCACUUUCAGUUGUGAGGAAAAGUUAGUAGUUAAUACCUGCUAGCCGUGACGUUAACAACAGAAGAAGCACCGGCUAACUCCGUGCCAGCAGCCGCGGUAAUACGGAGGGUGCGAGCGUUAAUCGGAAUUACUGGGCGUAAAGCGCACGCAGGCGGUUUGUUAAGCUAGAUGUGAAAGCCCCGGGCUCAACCUGGGAUGGUCAUUUAGAACUGGCAGACUAGAGUCUUGGAGAGGGGAGUGGAAUUCCAGGUGUAGCGGUGAAAUGCGUAGAUAUCUGGAGGAACAUCAGUGGCGAAGGCGACUCCCUGGCCAAAGACUGACGCUCAUGUGCGAAAGUGUGGGUAGCGAACAGGAUUAGAUACCCUGGUAGUCCACACCGUAAACGCUGUCUACUAGCUGUGUGUG